UGAGGAAUAUUGGGCAAUGCCCGCAAGGGUGACCCAGCAACGCCGCGUGGAGGAUGAAUGUCGUAAGAUUGUAAACUCCUGUUAGAGGGGAAGAAUAGUACCGGUUGGACCGGUAUAUGACUGUACCCUCAGAGAAAGCCCCGGCUAACUACGUGCCAGCAGCCGCGGUAAUACGUAGGGGGCAAGCGUUGUUCGGAGUUACUGGGCGUAAAGAGUGCGUAGGCGGUUUUCUAAGUUCGGUGUGAAAUCUCCCGGCUUAACUGGGAGGGUGCGCCGAAGACUGGGAUGCUGGAGUGUGGGAAAGGCAGGCGGAAUUCCUGGUGUAGCAGUGAAAUGCGUAGAGAUGCGGAGGAACACCGAUGGCGAAGGCAGCCUCCUGGGAUGACACUGACGCUCAUGCACGAAAGCGUGGGGAGCAAACA
This 422-nucleotide ribosomal RNA is filed under the name uncultured bacterium. Its description in RNAcentral is "bacterial SSU rRNA". It matches the Rfam family "Bacterial small subunit ribosomal RNA", at positions 355 to 774 of the family's 1533-position model. The record is from RNAcentral.